Hevea brasiliensis (rubber tree) is the source of this 236-nucleotide long non-coding RNA. RefSeq lists it as uncharacterized. Lineage: Eukaryota; Viridiplantae; Streptophyta; Magnoliopsida; Malpighiales; Euphorbiaceae. The transcript has 2 exons. The record is from RefSeq and is a predicted model, not a curated record.
UGGAGCUCAAGUUCUCCAUGAUCAAGCCUUGAUUUCUUGCAAGUGUCUUCAUGAAAAAUGAUCCUCACACCAUAGGCAGUAGAUAGGCAGCAAGAAAUGAAAGUUUUUGUGGAGUUUUGAAGAAUUUCCAAAGUGUUAGCAAAGACUCAGGGAAAGGGAAGGAAACACUGAGUCAAGGCCAGGAGACAAUUAUCAGAGGUAGAUAGACGGACAGGGCAGCAGACUAGGCUGCUAGU